Molecule: ribosomal RNA, 374 nt
Filed under: uncultured prokaryote
Description: bacterial SSU rRNA
Rfam family: Bacterial small subunit ribosomal RNA
Source: RNAcentral
UACGUAGGUGGCGAGCGUUAUCCGGAUUUACUGGGCGUAAAGCGCGUGCAGGCGGUUUUGCAAGUCGGACGUCAAAUCUCUCGGCUUAACUGAGAGCCGUCGUUCGAAACUGUAAGACUUGAGGUUGGGAGAGGAAAGCGGAAUUCCCGGUGUAGUGGUGGAAUGCGUAGAUAUCGGGAGGAACACCUGUGGCGAAAGCGGCUUUCUGGCCCACACCUGACGCUAAGACGCGAAAGCGUGGGGAGCGAACAGGAUUAGAUACCCUGGUAGUCCACGCUGUAAACGAUGGAUACUAGGUGUUGGUGGUAUUGACCCCACCAGUGCCGUAGCUAACGCGUUAAGUAUCCCGCCUGGGGACUACGGCCGCAAGGUUA